This is a non-coding RNA of Sordaria macrospora k-hell, 73 nucleotides long. NCBI's taxonomy places the organism in Eukaryota, Fungi, Ascomycota, Sordariomycetes, Sordariales, Sordariaceae. The record is from the annotation of a RefSeq genome assembly.
CCAGGAUGGUCGCAUGAGACAUCAUAAGAUGAUGUUUCGAUUACCUUUUUUUUUUUCUUUGGUGUUGUUGCAG